UCGAACGAUGACCUCCAGCUUGCUGGGGUGAUUAGUGGCGAACGGGUGAGUAACACGUGAGUAACCUGCCCUUAACUCUGGGAUAAGCCUGGGAAACUGGGUCUAAUACCGGAUAUGACUCCUCAUCGCAUGGUGGGGGGUGGAAAGCUUUUUGUGGUUUUGGAUGGACUCGCGGCCUAUCAGCUUGUUGGUGAGGUAAUGGCUCACCAAGGCGACGACGGGUAGCCGGCCUGAGAGGGUGACCGGCCACACUGGGACUGAGACACGGCCCAGACUCCUACGGGAGGCAGCAGUGGGGAAUAUUGCACAAUGGGCGCAAGCCUGAUGCAGCGACGCCGCGUGAGGGAUGACGGCCUUCGGGUUGUAAACCUCUUUCAGUAGGGAAGAAGCGAAAGUGACGGUACCUGCAGAAGAAGCGCCGGCUAACUACGUGCCAGCAGCCGCGGUAAUACGUAGGGCGCAAGCGUUAUCCGGAAUUAUUGGGCGUAAAGAGCUCGUAGGCGGUUUGUCGCGUCUGCCGUGAAAGUCCGGGGCUCAACUCCGGAUCUGCGGUGGGUACGGGCAGACUAGAGUGAUGUAGGGGAGACUGGAAUUCCUGGU
Molecule: ribosomal RNA, 600 nt
Filed under: Arthrobacter oryzae
Lineage: Bacteria; Bacillati; Actinomycetota; Actinomycetes; Micrococcales; Micrococcaceae
Description: bacterial SSU rRNA
Rfam family: Bacterial small subunit ribosomal RNA
Source: RNAcentral